This 29-nucleotide non-coding RNA is filed under the name Rattus norvegicus (Norway rat). The record is from RNAcentral. Lineage: Eukaryota; Metazoa; Chordata; Mammalia; Rodentia; Muridae.
UCCAUAUGGAGUAGCUUAGUCAACUUAAG